GCAGGCUGGGUCCCCUGCACCUUCCUUCGCCUACCCAGGUCCCCGCCGCCCGCAUUGAUUCCACAUUAACAUGCAGCAGGCAUGGGAAAAUGAUAAACUCCUACACCACUGUCAUGGCAACUGAAAAAAUGGCCGCUUUAGAGGGGUGCGGGGAACGAGGGCCACGGGGAAAGAAAAGCCAAGGCCUGUCUCUUUUCUUCCGGUCUGACAUCUGUCGUUUAACAUACAAAAUUGUAUUAUCGCGAUGAAGGCGCGCUGCCCGGCUGGAGCCUCGCCCGGGAAUGAAGGGAGUUCGGCUCCGAAGGAAGAGUGAACGAGCCCUCCGACAUUCCCACCUAGAGCUGACGUUCCCCCACCUCUCAGCAUUCCAGUGGGAAUCUCAGCUCACAUUUAGGAAUAUACCUGGUGCUAGGAGGCUUCAUUCUCUCUGUAUUUUAAAAAUGUGAACACAAAUCUUUGGUACCUGUGGAUGGCAGUUAUCUGGCUGCGGUGUGAAGCCUACUGUUUUCAAGGACAGACAUUCGGCUGACUGCCCAAGAAUAAAAAUAGUGGAGAAUCAAAGGGUUCUGCUCGCAUGAAGGACGGGCUCAAGAGGAGCCACACCAGCUCAGCUCAAAUCACCUUCUCCAAUCUCAUACAGUUCUCCCGGGCUUUCAAAGUCUGCAGGACAAGGGGUCUGUGCCUGGUGCCACUGGAGGUCAGAAAAGGGCAUCGGAUCCCCUGGAACUGGAGAUACAGGUGGUUGGAAGCCUACCUGAGGGUUAUGGGAACCAGACCUGGGUCCUCUGCCCGAGAGGCCGGUGAUCUUCGCUGCUAAGCCAUCUUCCUACCGAGCCAUCUCUAGGUCCAGAAAACAAGUGAUUCAGUGAGGAGCAGAGGUGAGUCACUGGACCUGGGGCUAUGCAUUUGGCUACUCUGGCUGGCCUGCGCGCAUCGUGGAUCCUCCUGUUUCUUAUAGGAUUAUAAGCGGGGCCUGCCUGCACCGGAGUUUACAUGGGUGCUGGGGAUAUGAACUCCGGUCCUCAGGAACGUGUGGGCCGAGUGCUUUCUGACCGAGCUGCCUUCUUGAAGCCGGGGUUGGAGAGCAGAGGGGACAGUGUGGGAGGAAGGAUCCUGGGGACACGGAGAAGGCCUGCAGGACGGCCAGGGCAGGGCACGUAGGAGUGACAGACCCCAUGAGAACCUCCCUGUGCAUUAGCGAGUCCCCCACCCCCAGAGCAAGCACCGCCGCUGUUUACCCAGAGAGCGAUCAAUCACGUGGUGGGAAAUGCAGAGUGGAGCCCGGAGCUGGAGACAAACACCGGACACAGCCUCCAUCUGAGGAACACGGGGCCUCUGGGGCAGGGGCUUCCGUUUGCUUGGUUGGUUGGGUUUUUGGUACCAGGGUCUUGCUAGGUAGCUGUGUUAGUCAACAGAAUGAGUAUGUAUUCAAAAAGGGGGUGCAUUCAGUUGGCUUACACAAUACCAUCUAAGACCCCCAACAAUGGCUGUCUCCUACUGAAGAGGCUGAGAACACCUUAGCUGCUCGGUGCACAUGGCUCGAUGCCUCAGUGGGCCCUGAAGGCCUGGGGGAUUCCUGGAGAGUCACUGGUCUCCAGUCCACAUUGGAUGACUCAAGUCGUCAAGAAUGACAGAGUUGCCUGCAGCAGCAGCAGUGACAACUUUCCCAGCUCCAGCUUCCUUCUACCUGGCGGCCACUGGAAGGUGCCACCCAGGUUUAGGGUGGGUCUUCUCACUUGAAUUAAACUGAUGGAGAAAACCCUCACAGGUGUCCUCGGCAGUUUGCUUGUUACCCGAUUCCAGAUCCAGGCAAGCUGACAAAGCAUCAUCAUCACUGCGAUUCUCCUGCCUCAGCCUCGAGUACUAGAGUUUUGGAGAAGGGUAGACCCAAGAGGCUCUUCCCCUGUGUUUCAAUGCAGCAGAAAUCACAAGCAGGUUUGGUUCCCAGUGCCUGCACCUGGAGGCUCUCAACGCCUGUAACUCCAGGCGCCCUCUUCUGGCCCCCAUGGGCACCUGCAGUCACA
This is a non-coding RNA of Peromyscus maniculatus bairdii (prairie deer mouse), 2024 nucleotides long. The record is from RefSeq and is a predicted model, not a curated record. Lineage: Eukaryota; Metazoa; Chordata; Mammalia; Rodentia; Cricetidae.